GACGAACGCUGGCGGCGUGCUUAACACAUGCAAGUCGAACGGAAAGGCCCUGCUUUUGUGGGGUGCUCGAGUGGCGAACGGGUGAGUAACACGUGAGUAACCUGCCCUUGACUUUGUGAUAACUUCAGGAAACUGGGGCUAAUACCGGAUAGGAGCUCCUGCUGCAUGGUGGGGGUUGGAAAGUUUCGGCGGUUGGGGAUGGACUCGCGGCUUAUCAGCUUGUUGGUGGGGUAGUGGCUUACCAAGGCUUUGACGGGUAGCCGGCCUGAGAGGGUGACCGGCCACAUUGGGACUGAGAUACGGCCCAGACUCCUACGGGAGGCAGCAGUGGGGAAUAUUGCACAAUGGGCGGAAGCCUGAUGCAGAAACGCCGCGUGCGGGAUGACGGCCUUCGGGUUGUAAACCGCUUUCGCCUGUGACGAAGCGUGAGUGACGGUAAUGGGUAAAGAAGCACCGGCUAACUACGUG
RNAcentral lists this ribosomal RNA (468 nucleotides) under uncultured bacterium. RNAcentral's name for it is "partial 16S ribosomal RNA". It matches the Rfam family "Bacterial small subunit ribosomal RNA", at positions 28 to 507 of the family's 1533-position model. The record is from RNAcentral.